CCAAGUCCUUCAUGGAGAACUGUGAUGACAACCAUAGCAUCACACUCUACAAAAUCGAGAUGUCAUUUUAUAGUAAUAGUAUGUCAUCCACAUACAGCUCAAGAAAAAUGACCAUAGAAUCGAAAGCCCAUUUGUAGACACAAGGCUCUUCUCCAUUCCUAACGAAGCCAUACAUUUUGAUUACUUUAUCAAAAUGCAUGU
This 201-nucleotide long non-coding RNA is filed under the name Elaeis guineensis (African oil palm). RNAcentral's name for it is "long non-coding RNA (EGUI_LNC070032)". Lineage: Eukaryota; Viridiplantae; Streptophyta; Magnoliopsida; Arecales; Arecaceae. The record is from RNAcentral.